GGUGGGGUGAUGGCCUACCAAGGCGUCGACGGGUAGCCGGCCUGAGAGGGCGACCGGCCACAUUGGGACUGAGAUACGGCCCAAACUCCUACGGGAGGCAGCAGUGGGGAAUAUUGCACAAUGGGCGGAAGCCUGAUGCAGCAACGCCGCGUGCGGGAUGACGGCCUUCGGGUUGUAAACCGCUUUCAGCAGGGACGAAGCGUGAGUGACGGUACCUGCAGAAGAAGCACCGGCUAACUACGUGCCAGCAGCCGCGGUGAUACGUAGGGUGCGAGCGUUGUC
RNAcentral lists this ribosomal RNA (282 nucleotides) under uncultured bacterium. RNAcentral's name for it is "partial 16S ribosomal RNA". It matches the Rfam family "Bacterial small subunit ribosomal RNA", at positions 251 to 545 of the family's 1533-position model. The record is from RNAcentral.